Molecule: non-coding RNA, 96 nt
Organism: Mycena metata
Lineage: Eukaryota; Fungi; Basidiomycota; Agaricomycetes; Agaricales; Mycenaceae
Source: the annotation of a GenBank genome assembly
GCGGAGGUUGUGCAUGGUGCACGGCUGCUCCGAGUACCGAUGGAACUUGUUGUGCUCUUGCAAGCAGUUCAUGGGGUUCGAUUCCCCGCUUCCGCA